Molecule: long non-coding RNA, 1463 nt
Organism: Dalotia coriaria
Lineage: Eukaryota; Metazoa; Arthropoda; Insecta; Coleoptera; Staphylinidae
Exons: 2
Source: RefSeq, a predicted model, not a curated record
CAUUCGGAUUGAUAUUGCGACGGCGGCGCUCACUUAAAAGCCGAUAAAACCUAAUUGAAUCUUUACUAAACAAACAGCACGGCUGCAUUCCGAGUGAAAUUGAGAAACAAUAAAAACUAACGGCGUUUGUUGGAAAUAGACACAAAUAGCAACAAAUUGUGGCGUGUGGAAUGCUCACGGCUUUCCAGUGUGUUAAAUUAUUCGGAAUUUUAAUGUGCGCAACGAGUUAAGUGUCUAAAUAUCUAUCGUAAACGUAAAACGUCUUCAAUAAAAUAUUAAACACUUUUUGAUUGAUGUUAUAAUCACACACGAUAAUCAGUGUUGCCAGACAUAUGUAAAUGUCAUGUUGCAUCUCUUCGAAAAUUUCACAAAACCAUCAAAUUCUUAAUUUGAAAGUUGCCCGAGUUGUGAUUGAUGUCUUAUUGUCUGAAAGCUGAAAUUUUUGAACCCAUUUAGCAAAGAAUCAAUCAAUCUUGAGUCUUGUGUGUGUUUUGAUGGUUUCUGAUGGGUUUUUAGGUAUAAUGCGCAAGGUUAUGAAAGCGAGGCCGCGGUGUGCACAGAAAGGACAUCUCUGGACAUUUAUUCCGGUGCUGACAGUGCGCGGAGGUGGGUGAGAGUGGUGCCCGAAAAUGCCACACAACUUGACGCUGCGGGGCGCAGCGCUCACAAAUUUCGGCCUUUUGAGCCGCUCGUGUUCGGACACGGGGCGGCACGGCGCUCUCAAGGAAAAUGGAAAACGCUUUAAUGCGGACAUUUACAUGAUAUACAGCGGCUGCGGGACAAAAUGGAUGCGCCACGCUUACCGGCGAACAUGUGAAGGGAAAUAAAACAAAAAUCCAACACGAAUGGAUGCGUUGGUGAUGGUAAUGGCAACGAUUUGGUAAACACGUUCGCCGUUUUGCAUAUAAACAAUUGAUCCAGACCCAGACCCGCGGACCACACAGGCAACCAGACACUCAUCGGGCAUUGUCUUCCACAUUUUAUUUCUUGCACCAGCAAGAAGACAAAUAAAACAAUAGACAAUCAAUGAGAUAAAUAACAGUUGACAACAUAACAAGGGACUUCUCAGAUGAAUAAAAUAAAACAAAUUCAUUAAUAUUUUAAAAUAUUGUUUAUUUAUAUGCAAAAUGACAUUUAACGUUGUCAAUAUGUGUUAUUUGCUAGUUUAACCUAUAAAAAUCAGUGUUCUAACCUAUAAAAUAUAAAAUUUACUAUUAAUAAUAAAUAUUGAAGUAAAAUAGGAAAUGACAACUUAACAACAGACUUCUUAGAGGCGAAAAACGUAUAAUAAAUUUAUUAAAAUCAUAAAAUAGCAGUGAAAACUGUCAAAACAUUUAUAAUUUUCACGGAAAGAUGGCGUUAGAUGUCAGAAAAUGUGAAAAUUAAUGAUUUAACCUAUAAAGUCUCAAAUUUACUAUAAAUUCGUUGAAAAUAUGACAAUAAACUUGUUUUACAAGCAAAAA